GGGGAAUAUAUCCUUUUACUGUCCAGCCUGGGAGGGUGGAAAUGAGAACUAGAAGAUCUUGGAACAUCCCAGGGCUUCAUUGAAGUUCAAUUACCGCUCUUGAGAUUGGGAACAUGACUUAAAACUAAUGGCAAAUGAAGAGACAAUUAUACACUGACUUUAGGAGUACAAAAGCUGGUCUGGAGAUAUGUGUACCCCUGAAGAAUGCACACUGCAGAAUUGAGGCCUAACCGAGGAUUGUGGUCCUGUGUCUGAAGCCUCCCCAUCUGGGAGCAUCUGGGAUAUAGAAGCUGCAGGGAAUACGGAAGGCAGGGCUGUUGAGCUAUGACGACUGUGGGAAAGUCUGGUGUAAAGGAAUGAACAUUCUUGCCUUGUGGGUGAGACAGACUUAGGUAAGUUAUUUCACCCUUCUGAGCCUCAGUUCCCUCACACAUAGAAUGGUGAUCGUAAAAUCG
This 455-nucleotide long non-coding RNA is filed under the name Felis catus (domestic cat). RNAcentral describes it as "lncRNA (ENSFCAG00000044634.2)". Lineage: Eukaryota; Metazoa; Chordata; Mammalia; Carnivora; Felidae. The record is from RNAcentral.